Molecule: small RNA, 495 nt
Filed under: uncultured Glomeromycotina
Lineage: Eukaryota; Fungi; Glomeromycota
Description: SSU rRNA
Rfam family: Eukaryotic small subunit ribosomal RNA
Source: RNAcentral
CCAAUAGCGUAUAUUAAAGUUGUUGUGGUUAAAAAGCUCGUAGUUGAACCUUGGGCCUGGCCGUCCGGUCCGCCUCACCGCGUGUACUGGCUCGGCCGGGCCUUUCCCUCUGUGGAACCCCAUGCCCUUCACUGGGCGUGGCGGGGAAACAGGACUUUUACUGUGAAAAAAUUAGAGUGCUCCAGGCAGGCCUAUGCUCGAAUACAUUAGCAUGGAAUAAUAGAAUAGGACGUGUGGUUCUAUUUUGUUGGUUUCUAGGACCGCCGUAAUGAUUAAUAGGGACAGUCGGGGGCAUCAGUAUUCAAUUGUCAGAGGUGAAAUUCUUGGAUUUAUUGAAGACUAACUACUGCGAAAGCAUUUGCCAAGGAUGUUUUCAUUAAUCAGGAACGAAAGUUAGGGGAUCGAAGACGAUCAGAUACCGUCGUAGUCUUAACCAUAAACUAUGCCGACUAGGGAUCGGACGGUGUUAUUUUUUGACCCGUUCGGCACCUUACG